RNAcentral lists this ribosomal RNA (423 nucleotides) under uncultured prokaryote. Its description in RNAcentral is "bacterial SSU rRNA". It matches the Rfam family "Bacterial small subunit ribosomal RNA", at positions 355 to 774 of the family's 1533-position model. The record is from RNAcentral.
CAACGAAUAAUCCGCAAUGGGCGAAAGCCUGACGGUGCGACGCCGCGUAUGGGAUGAAGUCCUUCGGGAUGUAAACCGUCAUAGUUUGUCAGCAAGCGAUCCGGUCUAAUAAAUCGGAAAGUUGAGCAGCAGAUGAAAGGGACGGCUAACUCCGUGCCAGCAGCCGCGGUAAUACGGAGGUCCCAAGCGUUGUUCGGAUUUACUGGGCUUAAAGCGCGUGUAGGCGGUUUGGUGCGUACCUUGUGAAAUCCCACGGCUCAACCGUGGAACCGCUGGGUAUACGACCUAACUUGAGGCUGAUAGAGGUGCCUGGAACCUUAGGUGGAGCGGUGAAAUGCGUAGAUAUCUAAGGGAACGCCGGUGGCGAAAGCGGGGCACUGGGUCAGUCCUGACGCUGAGACGCGAAAGCGUAGGGAGCAAACG